GGGUGCGAUCGUACCAGCACUAAAGCACCGAUCCCAUCAGAACUCUGCAGUUAAGCGUGCUCGGGCGAGAGUAGUACUGGCUUGGGUGACCCGC
This 94-nucleotide ribosomal RNA is filed under the name Chrysanthemum zawadzkii subsp. latilobum. Lineage: Eukaryota; Viridiplantae; Streptophyta; Magnoliopsida; Asterales; Asteraceae. The record is from RNAcentral.